GCAAUACGAGAGCGGCAGACGGGAGAGUAACACGUGGGAACGUACCCUUCGGUUCGGAACAACCCAGGGAAACUUGGGCUAAUACCGGAUACGUCCGUAAGGAGAAAGAUUUAUCGCCGAAGGAUCGGCCCGCGUCUGAUUAGCUAGUUGGUGAGGUAACGGCUCACCAAGGCGACGAUCAGUAGCUGGUCUGAGAGGAUGAUCAGCCUCACUGGGACUGAGACACGGCCCAGACUCCUACGGGAGGCAGCAGUGGGGAAUAUUGGACAAUGGGCGCAAGCCUGAUCCAGCCAUGCCGCGUGGGUGAUGAAGGCCCUAGGG
This 321-nucleotide ribosomal RNA is filed under the name uncultured bacterium. RNAcentral's name for it is "bacterial SSU rRNA". It matches the Rfam family "Bacterial small subunit ribosomal RNA", at positions 84 to 422 of the family's 1533-position model. The record is from RNAcentral.